UACGGAGGGUGCAAGCGUUAAUCGGAAUUACUGGGCGUAAAGCGCACGCAGGUGGCUGAGUCAGUCGAUUGUGAAAUCCCUAGGCUCAACCUAGGAACUGCACUCGAAACUGCGUUUCUUGAGUACCGGAGAGGAAAGCGGAAUUCCUGGUGUAGAGGUGAAAUUCGUAGAUAUCAGGAGGAACACCAGUGGCGAAGGCGGCUUUCUGGACGGUAACUGACGCUGAGACGCGAAAGCGUGGGGAGCAAACAGG
This 253-nucleotide ribosomal RNA is filed under the name uncultured bacterium. RNAcentral's name for it is "partial 16S ribosomal RNA". It matches the Rfam family "Bacterial small subunit ribosomal RNA", at positions 524 to 776 of the family's 1533-position model. The record is from RNAcentral.